Molecule: ribosomal RNA, 427 nt
Filed under: Streptococcus intermedius
Lineage: Bacteria; Bacillati; Bacillota; Bacilli; Lactobacillales; Streptococcaceae
Description: bacterial SSU rRNA
Rfam family: Bacterial small subunit ribosomal RNA
Source: RNAcentral
GACGAACGCUGGCGGCGUGCCUAAUACAUGCAAGUAGAACGCACAGGAUGCACCGUAGUUUACUACACCGUAUUCUGUGAGUUGCGAACGGGUGAGUAACGCGUAGGUAACCUGCCUGGUAGCGGGGGAUAACUAUUGGAAACGAUAGCUAAUACCGCAUAAGAACAUUUACUGCAUGGUAGAUGUUUAAAAGGUGCAAAUGCAUCACUACCAGAUGGACCUGCGUUGUAUUAGCUAGUAGGUGAGGUAACGGCUCACCUAGGCGACGAUACAUAGCCGACCUGAGAGGGUGAUCGGCCACACUGGGACUGAGACACGGCCCAGACUCCUACGGGAGGCAGCAGUAGGGAAUCUUCGGCAAUGGGGGGAACCCUGACCGAGCAACGCCGCGUGAGUGAAGAAAGGUUUUCGGGAUCGUAAAGCUCUG